Molecule: transfer RNA, 61 nt
Filed under: Pselaphinae sp. 8 EF-2015
Lineage: Eukaryota; Metazoa; Arthropoda; Insecta; Coleoptera; Staphylinidae
Description: tRNA-Asp
Source: RNAcentral
AAAAAUUUAGUUAAAUUAUAACAUUAGUGCGUCAAACUAAAAUUACUUAAAGUAAUUUUUU